RNAcentral lists this ribosomal RNA (405 nucleotides) under uncultured prokaryote. RNAcentral's name for it is "bacterial SSU rRNA". It matches the Rfam family "Bacterial small subunit ribosomal RNA", at positions 355 to 774 of the family's 1533-position model. The record is from RNAcentral.
UGGGGAAUAUUGGGCAAUGGGCGAAAGCCUGACCCAGCAACGCCGCGUGAGGGAAGAAGGCUUUCGGGUUGUAAACCUCUGUCGCAGGGGACGAAAGAAAUGACGGUACCCUGUGAGGAAGCCCCGGCUAACUACGUGCCAGCAGCCGCGGUAAUACGUAGGGGGCGAGCGUUGUCCGGAAUUACUGGGCGUAAAGGGUGCGUAGGCGGCAAUUUAAGUUGGAUGUGAAAUCCCCGGGCUUAACCUGGGUGGUGCAUCCAAAACUGAAUAGCUAGAGUGCAGGAGAGGGAAGCGGAAUUCCUAGUGUAGCGGUGAAAUGCGUAGAUAUUAGGAGGAACACCAGUGGCGAAGGCGGCUUUCUGGACUGUAACUGACGCUGAGGCACGAAAGCGUGGGGAGCAAACA